CAAAGGAAUUGACGGGGAGCACUACAACGGGUGGAGCCUGCGGUUUAAUUGGACUCAACGCCGGAAAACUCACCGGGGCGACAGCAAUAUGUAGGUCAAGCUAAAGACUUUACCAGAAUCGCUGAGAGGAGGUGCAUGGCCGUCGUCAGUUCGUACUGUGAAGCAUCCUGUUAAGUCAGGCAACGAGCGAGACCCGUGCCCACUGUUGCCAGCAUGUCCUUCGGGAUGAUGGGUACUCUGUGGGGACCGCCGAUGCUAAAUCGGAGGAAGGUGCGGGCUACGGUAGGUCAGUAUGCCCCGAAUCUCCCGGGCUACACGCGGGCUACAAUGACUGGGACAAUGGGCUCCUACCCCGAAAGGGGAUGGUAAUCUCAUAAACCCAGCCUUAGUUCGGAUCGAGGGCUGUAACCCGCCCUCGUGAAGCUGGAAUCCGUAGUAAUCGCGUUUCAACAUAGCGCGGUGAAUACGUCCCUGCUCCUU
Molecule: ribosomal RNA, 480 nt
Filed under: uncultured Methanomethylovorans sp.
Lineage: Archaea; Methanobacteriati; Methanobacteriota; Methanomicrobia; Methanosarcinales; Methanosarcinaceae
Description: bacterial SSU rRNA
Rfam family: Archaeal small subunit ribosomal RNA
Source: RNAcentral